This 492-nucleotide ribosomal RNA is filed under the name uncultured bacterium. RNAcentral describes it as "partial 16S ribosomal RNA". It matches the Rfam family "Bacterial small subunit ribosomal RNA", at positions 29 to 507 of the family's 1533-position model. The record is from RNAcentral.
AGUGAACGCUGGCGGUAGGCCUAACACAUGCAAGUCGAACGGCAGCACAGUAAGAGCUUGCUCUUACGGGUGGCGAGUGGCGGACGGGUGAGGAAUACAUCGGAAUCUACUUUUUCGUGGGGGAUAACGUAGGGAAACUUACGCUAAUACCGCAUACGACAUACGGGUGAAAGCAGGGGAUCUUCGGACCUUGCGCGAUUGAAUGAGCCGAUGUCGGAUUAGCUAGUUGGCGGGGUAAAGGCCCACCAAGGCGACGAUCCGUAGCUGCUCUGAGAGGAUGAUCAGCCACACUGGAACUGAGACACGCUCCAGACUCCUACGGGAGGCAGCAGUGGGGAAUAUUGGACAAUGGGCGCAAGCCUGAUCCAGCCAUACCGCGUGGGUGAAGAUGGCCUUCGGGUUGUAAAGCCCUUUUGUUGGGAAAGAAAAGCAGCAGGUUAAUACCCCGCUGUUCUGACGGUACCCAAAGAAUAAGCACCGGCUAACUUCGUG